UACGUAGGGUGCAAGCGUUGUCCGGAAUUAUUGGGCGUAAAGGGUGUGUAGGUGGCGCCGUAAGCCGGGUGUGAAAUUUCGGAGCUUAACUCCGAAACUGCAUUCGAUACUGCGGUGCUUGAGGACUGGAGAGGAGACUGGAAUUCAUGGUGUAGCAGUGAAAUGCGUAGAGAUCAUGAGGAAGACCAGUGGCGAAGGCGGGUCUCUGGACAGUUCCUGACACUGAGACACGAAGGCCAGGGGAGCAAACGGG
RNAcentral lists this ribosomal RNA (253 nucleotides) under uncultured bacterium. RNAcentral's name for it is "partial 16S ribosomal RNA". It matches the Rfam family "Bacterial small subunit ribosomal RNA", at positions 524 to 776 of the family's 1533-position model. The record is from RNAcentral.